UGAUAAAAGAGAUUGCCGAUUGGUUGAUUUGAUAAUUAAGAUAAGAGAAUUAUGAAGUUGUUGAAAAAAAAAAUAACACAAACUUUGACAGAAAAUCAUACAGCAUUUAAAUUUGGCUCUUUGUUUAUUUUGUUUCCGCAAAAGGUACAUGACUCGAGUAACUUUACACAUAACAAAAGGCAUCUAAGCCUUCAUUUUCUUAUUCAUAAUUUGCAUGAUUAUUCCUUUAUUCAUAUUGAUUUGGUACCAAAUCUAAGCUGCUGCUUUGUUGUCUGAGUCACUGCGGGGUGGAACAAGAAAUGAAAAGGGGCUGUUGAACUUGAGCUGCCUGGCCUCAUUUCUUUCCAUAUUGAAAGCAGCUGCAACAACUUCUUCUGGCAUACCAUUUAUCAAGGAAGAUGCUCCUAAAAGCCUGCCAAUAGCUGCUCUGUCAUUGGUCUUGAAUGCUACAUAUGAGAACCUGUCACUCAAUGAUUUUGCAGCUAUUGCAAAGUUUUGUGGCACUAUCAACGCCCGGCCAGCUUCUAGUUCCCCAUCAAACACACUGUUGCCUUUGCAGUUCACAAUUUGUAAUCUUGCACGUCCCUUCAAUGCAUAAAGUAUGCUGUUUGCAUUGAGGUUGUAGUGAGGCACAAACAUAGCAUUCUGUUACAUAUAAAUAGACAAACAAGUGAGUUACUUAUAUUCUAACACUUCCAAAUUCCAUUAAUGUUGAUAUGAAAAGAUUGUUUGAUAUAAAAUUAAGUCAUGAAAGACAUUAGGUUUCAUGGUUUGGUCUAGUGGUAAAAAGACCUACAUGUUGUAGGUUCAAUCUCUGCUAGUGUCAUUGGAAGUUGGCAAAUGUAAAUGCAUCAUCUUUUUUUAUAAAAAAGAGAAAUGACAUACUUUGUGGAGAGAUCCAAACUCAGCACUGAGUUUGAGAAACCUGAGAGCUGGAAGGUCGAAGCUGGUAACAGUUUUGAUUCUACCAGCUUGAGGGUUGUAGAUGUCAGGUGAUGAAGAUGAGCCAAUGUUCUGGUGAAGUCUUGCAGUGCAAAUGGUUUCCUCAAACCCAUUGUCUCUUUGGCUUUUGCUUCCACCUCUGCUGUGGCGGCGUGGCUGUCUCUUUUCAUCUUCGUCUUCAUCUUGUCUGCUGUGGCGGUGUGGCUGUCUCUUUUCAUCUUCAUCUUCAUCUUCCUCUUGUCUGCUGCCUCUCUUUUGACGUGGCUCCUUCUCUGGUGGAGUGAUGAUGCUAAGACCUCCUUUCACUUUGACAAUGGCUCCCUUCUCCUCAUCUUCGUUCCUACCUUGAAGUUUGUUCACUAUACGCCUGUUCACGUUCAAGGCAUCUUCCAAGAAAUCCCUCUUGAAGCCACUGAAAAUGUUGCCACCUUCAUUUUCCUCUUCUUCACUUCCUUCCUGCUGNNNNNNNNNNNNNNNNNNNNNNNNNNNNNNNNNNNNNNNNNNNNNNNNNNNNNNNNNNNNNNNNNNNNNNNNNNNNNNNNNNNNNNNNNNNNNNNNNNNNNNNNNNNNNNNNNNNNNNNNNNNNNNNNNNNNNNNNNNNNNNNNNNNNNNNNNNNNNNNNNNNNNNNNNNNNNNNNNNNNNNNNNNNNNNNNNNNNNNNNNNNNNNNNNNNNNNNNNNNNNNNNNNNNNNNNNNNNNNNNNNNNNNNNNNNNNNNNNNNNNNNNNNNNNNNNNNNNNNNNNNNNNNNNNNNNNNNNNNNNNNNCUCGUGGUUUCCAGCAAGAUAGAAUCUCUGUCAAUCAAAAUCAAACAGUUAUUAAUUCCAAUUUCUUUCACGUGAAUUAAGUUUAAUUAUAUUAUGCUCACCCUAGGCAUCUGAUCAAGCUGGUUUUGGAAGCUGCUGGUGUCAAUAAGAGAAACAGCAAUAACUGGAGUGUCUUGAUCAUUGAACAUCCAAAAUACAACACCAGUAGGAACUGCAAUGAUAUCACCCUCUCUGAAGCGGUUAACCUUUUGGUGACUGUCUCUAAACUUGCUUCCCUCUCCUUGUUCAGAUUCACGUGGCUCCUCAAAAGUCUCAACACAACCAGGGAAUACCAUGCCAAAAUAUCCAUUACCUGUAAUUGUUAUAGCAAAAUAUUAGCCACUACUAUAUAACAUCACUAAUAUGUAUGUAAAAAAAAUGUAAUAAGAUCAAAAUAAGGAACCUUGUUGGAUGAAAAUUUCCUGGGGAGCGUUGGUGUAGAAAGGUCUGCGGAGGGAAUUUGGUUGAAGGGUAGCACGAGAGAGGGCCACACCGGCACAUCGGAAUUGCUUGUUGCUUGGGUUCCAAGUCUCAAUAAGUCCACCUUCUGACUUUAUACGGUUAUCAGGUUCAAGGGCAUUGAGGUGUUCAAGCUGACACUCAUUUUGUUCAGGUUGAUCUCUCAAAGCAAAACAGCUACCAAAAAGUAGAAAACAAAAUGAAAGAGAGAGUGCAAGAAGCUUAGCCAUGAUGACAGAUAUUGAAAAGAAUGUUGGUUUGUGAUGCGGAGAACCUUAAUGAGAAGUGGUUAUUUAUAGGGAAAAUAGGUUGGCGAAGGAUGGACACGUCAAAGAAGGUGUGGAGCUGAGCAUUAGACAUUCUUCAGCUUGCAUGGGUAUGGAAGCCUUGUGCAUUACACCUAUGUCUGAUAGAGCAAGGUGGCUUUCAACAUAUCCAUAAUCCAACAAAAAGCAUGCUUGUUUGUAUUGCAAUUCUUGCCUAGGCAUUAUUAUUAGUUUAAAUCGGUGGGGGAGGGGGGACCAUGGCUCCAUUUUGUUUUCUUCCCUGCUUCUCUCUUUCAUAUCUGCAAAGAUUUACGAAGAACAUUAAUCCUUAAAAUAUAUGUGUAAUUACAUAGUGCUUGAUAAACAUUUUACUUUUUACAUUUAAAAUGAGUUUACUCUAAAUAAGUCAAAAUCUAAUGUAAUAAUAACCACUUUUUGAAAUAUCAAUUUCAAUUUUUUAAAAUUUGUUCCAUAUAUUGAUAAACUUUUCAGAUUUUUUCGGGUCGUAAGUUUUUAAUACAUGUGCUUGACUCACUACAAAGAAUUGGUCCGUGACCCAUAUUAACUUAGUUCUUCGAAUAUGAUUUGGGUGAUGCCAUGUUUUCUCUUCUCCCACGUAUAAAAGAUCUACCCAAUUCAACUGCUACACCCCAAUUCUUCUCAUCAAUGAUAAACUUAAAUCAGUGAACUAGUGAGCAAUGGAUUACAAGGGUAGAAAUCAAUGAAUAAAGGACUCUGCAUCAAUAUUCAUUUGGCACAUAUAUAGAAUUCCCAGCCAUUUAACUAGCUUUUAAAAAUGCAAGGCAACUAUGUCACGUCAAACACAAUCAACGUUGAUUUUUAAAUUAUCCUGAGUCAGAUAAUAGGCCUAUUUAUAGAUAUUCAUGGACCUGAAAUUCUUUCUCUGCUACUUAAAUAAAUAAUAAUCAAAGGUAGAAGCAAUGUAUUGAGAAUAAAAAAUGCAUAAAAUGUAAGGGUGUAAUCUGCCUUUCCUUCAAAUGAUUCUACAGAAAUUAUUUCGGUGGCCGUUCAAUCAUUGUAAAAACCAAAGAGGGAAGAGUUGGCGGGAAAAACUGUAAACACUGUACGUUUACCGUUUUUAUCGUGGAUUUGAAUUUUUUUCUAAUUAGAUGAAUACUUUUUUAUCUUAACUAUUUACUUUUUACCAUGAUAAUCUAAAGUUCAUUCGAUACAUAGAGCUUGGCAUCAAAUCAAAUAGUACCCAAACAAUUCAUCAAUCUUAACACAAAUACAUUAACCAUUGGCACAAAUUACGUCCACUUGGUUAAUAGUAGAUGAACAUGACAAAAACAAAAGAUGAGUGACAGAAGGGCAAUUUGCGGAACUCGUCAAUUUUUUAAUAAACAUAGCCCUGUAAAUUUUUUUAUAACGAAAGACAAUACAAGACAAACCAGCUUCUACACACGAUCUGCCAUAAACAAGUUCCCAAAGAAAAGGGAAGAAUCCCAGUCCCUUUGCGUCCAUUAUGAAGCAUAGAUCAUGUUAUUUAGGCUAAUGCUUGUGACGAGGCGUAUCAAACAUUAGCAAAUUGAUGCGCACAGAACAUGGUAGGUUUAACCAAUCAGGGAAUAUAAAAUAAUAGAGUACUCCAUCACUAAACAGGCCUUAUUAAUCUGAAGACGAACAAAGUGAGAGCUUUUACAAGAAAAAAUCACAUUAACAUUAUGAUGAACUACCAUGAUCUCACAAGGAUUAAAUGUCACAAUCCUCGGGAUAUAAUCACCCUUGUAGAAGGAACUAUAGGUUAUAAUUUAUAAAUAAUACAUGCCUACACGAUAUGGACAAUAACAAAUUACAAUGCUAGAAGAAACAAUGAAACAUGCAACCUUCAAUUUUCUUAUUCGGUAGUAUUACUCUUCAAGCUAGAUUCCCCGUUCUUCUCUUCAGUGCUAUCCACUAUUUUGGUUUCAACAUGACCAUCCCCCUUGGUUGCAUUGCCAUCCACUUCAAGAGUGUUUGACUUUUUCGGCAGUUUUCGAUCAAGACUCUGAGCAGCUUCCAACUCUUCAGAUUCAUCACCUUCACAUCUUUCAUUGGGGUUUUGAACAGCUUCGGCAUCAUGCUUGGCAGUGUCAGCAUUUUGUGUUAGUUGUGCCCCUGAACUUUGAGAAGCUUCCAACUCUUCAUACUUAGAAACCAACUGCUGCAGCUCGUCAUUGAGAUAUAAAGCCUCAAAAAGUGUUUCUUCAUCAUUUGUGGUGCUUUCCACAAUCUCCUUAAUAACAGAGAGUGAUUGCUUGCACUUAUCCAGCAGACUCAAAGUUAUAUCUUCCUGGAACCAAACAAAAUCAUUGUACAUUCUAUCAGCAAAAAAAUUAUUCCUAUUUCUUAGCUGUAUACUGAUGUAGCAAUAACCUAGAUGAGCUGGGAAGAUAAGAGAUAAAAAAAAAAUCCAUCUACAUUGUAUCUGCAUAAGAAUACUAUAGUAUUUUGCAUAGAAAAGCAUGUAACUGAUUUAUGAUAGUUCUUUAAAAAUCUGUGCAAGAACUACUUCAUACAUACAGCAAACAUCAUGAUGCAGUAAACAAAACAACAAUCUAUUGUUCAGGUGAUGCUGUAUUUCUUUAAUUUAAAAAAGUUUACCUUCAAAGGUUUUGGCUCUGCCUCAGAACUUAAUAUGCUAGAGAGCAAUUCAAGACUGUUUCGAGCAACCACAAGAUGCUCUUUCUUCUCUUCCACUGAUACAGGUUGGUGAUCAGUAAAGAAAGCUGCUGAGUCAUCCAGAGCAAGAGCAUGUAGCCCUGCUUCUGGAAUUGGGUAUCUUUCAGGGGGGUCUAAAGGGUGUUGAUAAUUAUGUGACUCUGAGGCAUAUGGAAUAGGUGGUGAGUUUCCUCCCGUCAUGUCAAGUGAUUCACCCCUUCCUUUCAAACUCUGUCAUCAAUGAGAAGAAUAUAGGACUUAAAUUAAAUGAGGAAGAAAAGGAAGCACAAGAAUACGUCAUAGUAAAAAUAAAAAAUAGACGGCACCACAUUCGAAAGAGUAGACAAUAAGUAAGAUCGUGAAGCACAAUGUAGGAAUUCGCUUCAAGGCCAACAUUUUGUAAAAAAUAACCCAAGGUCACCUGGGAAAUGCUAUUUUCACAAAGUAUAAUUCUGCAAACAAAGUCUAGAAGCUACACAUAUAACAAUAAAAUCAAGUACGAAAAACAAUAAGGUUACCAUUCAAAGAUAAUUUGAGGCCAAUGAUAUUUGCUUCCCUUAAACUAUUAAUACCCUUCAAUGAAAUUUUGCUUAAACAAAUUUCAAUCAAGUUUUUUGGGACCUGUCAUUUGAAUUAUUUGGGAAAGAAAAUAGAUGGUAUAGAGUUGUAAAGAUAAGUUUUGCAUUUGAAAUAAGAUAAAGUAAAAUGGAGUGAAUAGAAUGCAAAUUCAUCUAGAUAAAUCCUAAGACAAGCUUGGAGGCCAAAAUUGGAAAUCUUACCAAGCCAAAAAUUCAGUGUGGUGGGUACCUUGAGUCCAUCAUAAAAAUAUCGAAGAAAUAGGAUAAAUAUAAAUCGUAAUACUCAACCUAGGCAGAUAAAAUGAAAAUGCUUCAACAGCCUUCGUGUUCGACAUUGCCUUUUAAGAUUAAUUAAUGAAAACUUACCGCACGGUCAUAAAACCAACAAUGAAAACAUGUUAAGUGUUAUGAUAUGAAAAAUAAAACAACAAAUUAGUGGUUAUACAAGACAAGACGGGAUUAGGAAUAAAAGCACUAGAGAGAAAGUUGUGACAGCCACCGUCUACUGUAAAAAAGACAGUUGGUCUUAUUGUGGUUUGGACAUGUGUUGAGCAGACAUUGGAAAAUAUCCCACUAAUUAGAGGUAGAAAGAAACGAAGCAAAACAAUAAGCUACAAUCAAGAAAAAAUGGAACUAUACGAUCAAUAAUUCUAUAUCACAGAGCAUGAUUCAUGACAGGACAAGACUUAAUGACAUCAUUUAAUCCAUGUAACCGAUCCCACCUAAUGGGAAAAGGUUUUGAUUGUAAUUGUUAGUGUUGUUUUUGUCACAAAGCAAACAAUGCCUUCUGGUACUGAUCGUCAAACAGUAAUGCCGCAAUGAAUACAUACAAGAAAAAUUAGUACAAUUGUGUAUAUGAUGAUUUUCCAUAUCAGAAAUUCAGAAUAAGACCGAUAGAAAUGCCAGUAGAGAACUUUAUUAGACCAAGGAUAGUCUAAUAAUCAGAUAUAUAAAGGAAAACAAAAAAAAAUCUAAAUGAAACCAUUGAAAAGUACUUAGAUCUAUAUAGCUACUUUUAAGUAAUAUGUACUAGGUGUGUGGCAAACCACAAUGGAAAUGCAAUUAUUUAAAUAAAUAAGUUUGCCUACAAUAGACCCACAAUGCCUGGGUCCAAUCCUUACCUCUUUAAAUAGAACAUCCUCUCAUUAUAAUUCUAACUGAUAACUAACCUACUAAAGGAAACUCUAUGUUUUCCCCCUUAGUGUGACCACAAUACACAUACUCUGAUACAGCUCUGUUAUUGACCAGCAUACAUAUAAUACAGACACAACCCUAACACCAAUAAUAAUUUCAGAAAAUAGAAUUGAUUGAAUGAAAUUUUAUGCGUCAGUCAGAGUUGUGUCCAUGUGUUAGUGUGUCGGUCUUCAGACAUUGAACACACCUUAUGAACUUUUUUAUUUAUAGGCAAAUGUUAUUAAAUUAGUGGUUAUCUAUGAAGCACAUAUAAUGACACUACACUAAUCAGUCGAGAAAAUAAAUAAUUAAUUGAAUGUAAUCAAUAUGUGAGUGUCAUAUUGUGUUAGACACGAAGACUCGAGUGUGGGUGGUUAUGUUAGUUCCCGAGACCUCUUUUUUAAUUACCUGAAGUGUUGGUGAUACAUAGCUAACGUAUUGUAAGACUGAAUUGACCCAUGUUCCAACAAAAUAGUGAUAGAAAAAAACAAAGCAAGAAGAAGAAAAGAAAGAAACUAACCGUAUAAGUUUGAGCGAAAACAGGAAGAUAAGCAAGAUCUUCAGACUGACCCCAUGCCCUAAUAAGCUGAAAAGCCCUUGUUCUAUUUUGCUGAUCAGCCUGUUGAUUAUCAAACAACCUAACCAUAUCAUCUAAAAGCUUCUCAGAAGCAAUUUCAGAAAAAACCUUUUCACAAUUCAUAGCACAAGUUUCCAACAACUCAAGGCUAUGCUUCUGAACAACAGGGUUCUUGUGAUUAAUCCUCCUCUUUAUACCCUUCACAACUUCCGAACCGUUAAACUCUUCCGCGUUUAUUAGACCGCAUAUUCUCAGAUUCAUUCCCCAAUUUGGUUCUUCCAACGUCUCUGAUGUUGCUUCCUCGACCAUCUUUGAUUCCGGCGUCGGAGUUUGGAGUAUUUCCUUCAUUUUGCCGCUUACGAUUCGACCCAUCUGGGCCCCACCGGUUUUGAGCCUCUCGCCGAAUUGAGCUAGCUUAGACUUGUCCAUGAGAGUGAGAUGGUUGUUGUGGAGUGAGAAAGUGAGGAACCCUAGAUCGGAUUCUGUUCGUUACUGAUGUGGAGUAUGAAAAUGGGAAAGUGGAGAGUUGAAGUUUCAGAGAGAAACAAAUGUUUGAUUUUAUUUAGAUUAUUGAUUUAUGUUCUUUUACGUGGCUUUCUUUGGAGAGCUUUAAAAUCAUUAAUUAAUUGAUCCCCCACUCACUAAAGUCUUCUCAACCACGUCUCCAUCUCUCUCGUAGACUCUAUUAAUAUUUUAAACUAUUUUUCAAUUAAGUCUUUUUGUAAUUUUACAAUGUUCAUUGAUAUUAAUUGGGCUGACGUGGAAAAUUAAAUGUUAUUUAUUAUCAAAUUGAUCUCUAUAGUUAGAACUAAUACUAUCUAUCUCUUUUCUUUAAAGGAACAUGUAAAUAACUUUAAUUAUUUUGAUUGUGUGGAUGGAGUGUUUUCUCUUAAAGCUCAAUUACGUGCACAAUGCAUAUGUUGUGAGUGCAUCGGAAACAACCGGAAAAAAGAAAAGAAAAUGACAUAGAUUUUAUAGGGUUUGUAUUUUUACUUAAAAUGCUAACAUUUUGAAGGGUUUGUACUUGUACUUAAAAUGCUAAGAUUUAUGUCACGGGUUAAAUUUGAGACCAAUUUUUUGUGUUUUAACCUUUUUUUUUCAUGGGAUAAUUAAUCAUUAAUCACAAUUUUUUAAUGAAAACUAAAUUUUUAGCGUGUCCCUAAUGUGGACCCUAAAAAAAUGUCCACCAGUGGACCUGUGGCUUUCAACCGGGUACAGCCGGUAAGUAAUAUUUUUUUCACAUUUUGUUUUUCCAAAUUUUUGGACACUGCUUGUAAACGAUGGAGCCACAACUAUGGCAUAGUUGUUGAUAUAAGACGUGUCGCAUGCCCUUUAUACAUAUAGUCUCUCUUUUUAUCUCGUUGGAAUUUAUCAGAUAAUACUUUCUGGGACAUUUAAGCAGGAAAUGGGAUAAUUAAAAGAGAAGGCUUUGUACCCAAAAAAGACAGCUAUAUUUUUUUAUACUUUAUCAUUGUUCCAACAAAUGUCAUAUGUGUGAUGAGAAAGAGCUUGAGAAGUAGAGUGUCUUGUGUGAUGCUGAUUCCAUCGAGAAAAUCAACAGUAUGUUGUGUGGUGUACGUGAAUGGUUUCGGGACAUGGGGGAAUAAGGAAAAAAGAAAUCAACUAGGUCGAUAACAUAUGUUGCGUAUAACUUCUAUAUGACGAAAAGGUGGUGAAGAGCGAAAUUGUUAUGAGUUUUGUGUGUCGUUCGUCGGGUUCUGUUUAAGUUGUAUGAAAGGGGACGGCUCUAUCAUUUACAUUUUACAUACAAUGUGAACAAAAUUGGAAGAAAAGUUGUUUACCGAUUGUACCCGGUUAAAAGCAAAGGUCCACACUUUAAAGGCACCCAAAUUUUCAAUUUAGUCUUUAAAAUAUCAUUUCUUUUAUUUAUUUUAUAAAUUAUUAUGAAUUCAAAAUAUUUUGUACUUUAUUUCUUUUGAAAUUAUUUAAGCCUUUGAUAUCAGUUCAUUCUAGACAAGAUUUUGCCUUUUAUUAAAUACAAAUAUUUCACCAUCUCUUCACUCUAAAUUUUAUAAAAAAAAUAUGAAGACUCUAAUUCAUAAGAAAUUCUUUUUUUUUUUCCGUCUAAUCAAUAAUUGUAAUGCUACCAUAACUCUUAUCUUAAGACACUUAUUCUCUUCAAUCUUUAAUAUAAAAGCAAAAAUGAAGUAAAAAAAAAUCAAUAUAUUUAAUUUAAAAUUUAAACUAAAGAUAUCCAUUUUAUUUCACCAUAUUUUUACUUAUAUUUAAAAUAAGAUAGAGUAGGUCAAAAACUCCACUAUUUCAUGUCAUAAAUAUCCUUUGGAGGAGGCUAUAAAGAUGCCUUUGAGCAGUCCCACAACUUAUCCAUAGAAAAUGAGCAAUCACCCAAAUGCAUGGACAAACUGGCUACCAAGAACCAUUUUCAUUCUCAAACAAAUCCAUCCCUUUUUUAAUCAAAAAGAAAUUAUAUUAAUUAAAAUAAAAGUUGAGAAUAAUAGCUUCUAUCAUCGUAUAUAAAAAAAAAUAAAUUUAAUAAGGAAAAAUAUAGAUACACUUUGAACUAAAAAAAGACCAUGGUGAUUAAGUUGAGCUAAUAAAUGAGCAUGUCUAUUUGUUUCUUUUAAAGAAUAAUUAAGAGGGAAUAAGUUCAAUUAUAAUAAACAAAUGAAUAAAUUGAACAUAACAUUUGUGGAUCAUAAAAACGAGGGUCAGUAAGCCAAUUUUAAAAAUAAUAUUAUAAAUAGAUUUAUCAUGAACCACAGAAUGUCAUGUAGUGAUGACCAGGACUGACUAUUAUGGUCGCGAAUGAUCCUUCACAAAUCGAGGAGUUAUCAAUAUGAAUAUAAGCACCACUAAUGUUCAUCUUUAUAACUUUCCAUGAGGUUUAACUCAUAUUUUUUAUUAUGGUUAAUCAUGUUCUCUUUAAGUUUUAGAAAGAUAACUAUUCCUCUUAGAAACUUUAUCAAUGUUUAAUUUAUAAAUAAAUAUAUUUUUUAGGUUUUAGAAAGAUAACUAUUCCUCUUAGAAACUCUGUCAAUGUUUAAUUUAUAAAUAAAUAUAUUUUUUAAUUCAUAUAAAAUUAUGGUAUAUCAAGUUUAGUCUUUAAAAAAUAUUAAUUUAUUUUUAGUCUAUAUUUUAAUUUUAUAGAGACUAUUUUAAAGUAUAAAAAAUAUAAAUUCUUUUAAAAAAAAUCAAAAUUGAAAUUAAAAAUAAAUGAAAAUUUUAAAAUUUAGACUUAAAAAUAGUAAAUUUAUAAUUAUUAAAAAUAUAUUUAAUCCUUAAUUUAAGUUAGAUAUGGAGGCAUCCAACUAACCGCAAUUCAAGAGAAUAACUUGGUACAUUGAAAUAAGAACUAUUUAUGGUGUUACUAUAAUUCAAAAUUUAAAUAAAAUAGAAAAUUAUAAUCUAGCAACAAAAUUGAACGUUUACUCGUCAAUCAAUUAAUAUGAUAAUUAUUUGUUUUUUUACAUUUUUUUUCCACACAAAUUUUCAGUCUCAAUAUUUGUUUUUUUUUCUGUGAUUAUUAAAAAUUUAAAAUACUUUUGCAUUUAAAAUAAUCAUAAAGAUUUGUUUAAUAAAUUAUUUAUACAAUUAUAUAAACACAAUUCUAAAGUUAACUGGUAGUAUUAAUUUUGGUCAGAUAUUUUUUACAAAUUUACUCAUAACAAUUCAAUUUUUUCAAAUAUACAUUAAAAAAAAUUAUAAAAAAUAUACAUUUGAACUUAACUCAACAUCCUAAAUUUGCCAUGAAAUUUAAAUUUUUCUGGAAAAACACUCUUUUAAGUUUUAUGAAUUUUUUUAUAAGACUUAAUAAACGUUUGUAAGAAAAAUGUUGUUUAAGAGACUAAAUGAAAAUUCCGUUUUUUCUAAUAUAUAUAUAUAUAAUAACAAAAUGAUGUAACAAAAACGUUGUUAUUAUUAACUUUUAGUGUAGCGACAUAAAAAGGUAGAUAGACGAUAAAUUAAUGUCCGUCAUUUUUUAUAACAAAUAAUUAAAUAUCUUAAUAAAUGUGUAAUUAUUUUUUGUUUAUUCUUUAUCACAGAAAAUGUAGUAUGUUAUCCAUGAUAAUUAUAUAUGAUUACAUAUGAUAUAAUUAUCAUCAGGACUAUGAGUUUGUACCUAAAAUAUUGUUAGUACAUGAACCAAAAUACUGUUUUUUGUUAAAAUAAAAUAAAAAGUAUUUAACUCAAUUUUAUCAAAAUAUUAAAGAGCAAAAAUAUAUUUCAUAAAAAAAAAAGAGAGCAAAAAUAUACAUAGAGGUUUGGUUCAUGUACUAAUUUUUCUUAAUUUGAUUAAAAUUUCUGUUUAGUUGUUGGACCCUCUUCCUCAUGUUUUCCAUGUGUCUUUGUUGGGAAGGAAAAAACACAACCAUGAAUGAAAGGGAAGGCUUUCAGUAGUUACCAUUCGAAUUCAGAAAAUAAUUAAUUUGUUUUUGGAAACUUCCAUUCUCAUGGUUUGGAAUUGAUCUCGAUACGUUUCACCUGCGUUAAUUGCAACAUUCAAGUUUCAAAACCAUGCAUGUAGGUAUGCAUACGCAAUUAUUCGAAGUUUUUAUUUUUGUUCACAAAAUGCGUAUCAUAUUUUCGUGGAUUUCGUAUGUGUCUUUUUUAUUCAUUGGGCGUUUUUUGGUUUUUGUGUGAAUUAUUGUGGGUGCUAUGCAUUUCAGAUCAUUUUGAAAAUUUUGUGCAAUUUAUUAUAUUGUUGGAACUCUUUUUUUGUUGUUAUUUCUUGGCUUCGUCAUACAAUUACGUAGUUUAUUCAUCCUCGUGAUGGAAAAAUAUGGAGACAUUGUUGAAAAAUGUGGUAAUUUGAAGUAUUUAUUAAUUUGUAUGGUUGUGGAAAACGAAAAGUUAUAUGUAAAAAUUGAAAGUUGAAUUAGGAUAAUUUGAGUUGAAAUUUGACAUUGUUCUGUUCGUAAUUCUCAUGAUUGUUUUACAAGAAACUUUGAAAACCAUCGUUUUAGUUGGUAACAUGCUAAUUUAUUUUGUUAUUUCCUUUAGCACAACAUUCAAAUGCUUAUGUAUAACAAUCUAUAGUUAUUUUUUUUACCGAGUAUUACAAUCUAUAGUUUUUUAUACAUGUUUUUGCUUGAACAAUUGAACACAGCCAUGGUGCUAAUGUACCAUAUUUCUCAAUAAUCAAGUUUGCUUUAACCACUAAUUGUUAUUUUUGACACAAACACCUCUGAGAUUAGGCUUGUCGUCAUGUCUGACACAUAUCGGUGUCCAACAUUCGUAUGACACUUUUACGACACCUCAAAUAAGUGUCCCAAAAUAAAAUUUGUUUUUCUUUGCUUCAACACACCUUAAACUUCUUGGACACAUCUAUGAAGGUGAAAAAGGUUAAAGAUGUGUCAAAGUAAUGAUAAUUAAUGAUAGGGUUAAAAACAUGAAAUUUAACUACAACAUGUUUAGUUUUUCGAUAGUAGAUGUAUCAAUGAAGGUGAAAAAUUAUCAUAUGUGUAUUAGUUUAGAUGUCCUAUGAUCUUUAUAUUAGCAAAGUCUGUGUCCGUGUCGUGUCAAAUGUUCGUGUCGGAAUUUGUGCUUCAUAGCAAAGAUCCUCUUUCCCCUACAAGGCUACAACUAUAUUCUAUUUAAAAAUAAAACUUGUAUGUAGUUAAGACAUACCAAUUCGAAUCCUUGAACAUGUCAAGCCAUGCAUAUCAACUCCUUACAAUGGUUAUCUACACUUGCCAAAGGGGUUCAUUAAAUUUACACAACUCUACUUUGUUUGGUAAGUUUAGGGAAUCAAGUUCCUUAGUUUGGCUAAGCUGUCACAUGUUAUGUGCAUUUUAUCCAAAAAUAAACACGAGACUAUCUUAUACAUCAGCUUAAUUAUAUAGUAAACAUUACAAAAUAAUUUUUUUUUAAUUUCUAUGUUGCUUUUAUAAUAUUAGUUUGUUGUAUGAUCUUACCAGAACAGAUCAAAUGGAUAUAACUUCAGCAAAAUGUGUGGUCAACACCAUUUCUCGAUUCAUUCAUCUAGUUUCUUGCCAAACAGUGAAACUUAUACCCCUUCAGAAGAACUAUAAUAAUAUGGUUGGUGUCUUAAAGUGUUUGAAACCAGUGCUUGAUGAUGUUGUGGAUUACAAAAUCCCUUUAGACAAAAAUUUGUACAGAGAAUGUGAAGAAUUGAAUAUGCAGGUUAAUGAAGCUAUGGAGUUCAUUGAAAAACGGAGCCCAAAGAUGAGUAGGAUCCACAAUGUAAGCAGUUAGUUAUUUCAUAAUUAAACCAAUAUCAUUAUUUUGCAACUAUUGUUUCAAAAAUGUUAGGACCAAUCGCCUCUUUGUCAGACAUUUGAACAAUGUUGAAAGGAGACAAUGAAUCACCGUUGCCUUUCUCAUAUGUCUGUUUUAUUUCGGAGAUAUUGAUUGCAGCCUAUUUAAUUGUUUUUGUUGGGAUUGUGUUAUUUUUAGGUUCUUCUAAGUGGAAAAAUGUUAAUAAAGUUACAAAGCACUUCACUUAUAAUUUGUCACAUAAUUAAUAGAUCUUCAAUGUCAACUUCCUCUUCCUCAGUUUUGGCUAAUCUUCAGGUAUGUCCAAAGUUUGAAACUACUUGUUUCUUGAUCAUUGUAGUUGUGAAACUAAUUAGUGGCAACUUUUUCAGCACCAUAUGCAAGAACUUCAGAGUUUUAAGAAGGAUUCAACAACACUCUAUAUAGAAGAAGCACUGAGAAAUCAAAAGGAUAAUAUUAAACCUUGCUAUGAACAUUUAAGGGAAAUUAUAGAGUUACUUAAAUUGACAUCAAGUCACGAGCUUCUAAAAGAAAGUAUUGAUGUUGAAAAGGAAAGGUUGAAUGUGAAUGCACAAGUCAACAAAACAAAAGAGGAGUUGGAUGAAGUUAACCAAAUUAUGAAUAUUGUGUGCAUUUUGCGCGAUUAUGCGACGAAAUCUAAAUGCCCUGAAGUCAAAAGUGGUGUCUCAAUACCAUCAUACUUUCUAUGCCCUUUAUCACUGGAAAUCAUGUUGGAUCCUGUUAUUGUGGCUUCAGGUCAAACAUAUGAGAGGGGGUCCAUUCAAAUGUGGCUUGAUAAUGAGCUGCUUAUUUGUCCCAAAACUCACCAGAAACUUACUCAUACAGAUCUAAUUCCCAAUUCUACUGUUAAAGCUAUGAUAACAAAUUGGUGUGAAGAAAAUAACUUCAAACUUCCCAGUAACUCAAAUCCUGGUAAUUCGACAAAAAUUUCAAACCCUUCCGAUAAUUUAUUGCAUCAAGAUUUAGACCGUGUCAAUAGCUUGGAAUAUUCUAGUAGCAAUUCCAAUUCAAAACCAUCCAUUCAAACUAUAAAUGCAUUUGAGAAUCAAAAGGGUGAAGACUCGUCCAGAUUAAGCGGCGAAUCAAACAGAUGCCAGAAUGGUGAGACAGAAAAGUUUAAGCAACAAUACCUUGGUCCUUCACAUAGUCACAGCAGAAGUACUGAAUCAUUUUCACGUUCUAUUUCUACUAAUGUUUUUCCUGCCUCUCCUGCAUAUAAAGAAUUAGUGAAUUUUCCAUCGUUAUCACGAGAUAAGUUUCAAACCUCUGGAUCAAAAAAUACAUCGACGGAGAAUGAAAUUAAGUGCAAUAACAAUAAUAAUAAUAUUGUUAUCACUAGCCAUUCAAAUGUCGAUGCUGAUCCUGUUUCUGAUAAAUUAACCACCACAUCUCAUGUCAAUAAGUUAAUUAAAGAUCUACAAAGUCAAUCAAAUGAAACACAAGCUAUCGCCGCAGAAGAAUUGCGCCUCCUUACCAAACAUAACAUGGACAACCGUAUCAUUGUAGCACAGUGUGGAGCUAUCAUGCAUUUACUUCCACUGCUAUAUUCAGAUAUGAAGAUAACACAAGAGCAUGCUGUGACAGCUUUACUGAAUCUAUCGAUUAACGAAGAUAACAGGACUUUGAUUAUGGAAGCAGAGGCUAUAGAAGGACUUAUCAAUGUUUUGAAGACAGGAAAUAAUGGCGCCAAAGAAAAUUCAGCGGCGGCUUUAUUCAGUCUGUCAGUACCAGAAAACAAUAAGGCGAAAAUCGGUUGUACGGGUGCAAUAAAAGCUUUGGUGGAACUUCUAGCUUCUGGAACUCUAAGAGGGAAGAAAGAUGCUGCAACUGCUUUAUUUAACCUUUCAAUAUGUCACGAGAAUAAAGCACGUAUAGUUGAAGCUGGAGCAGUGAAGUUUUUGGUUAUGUUAUUGGACCCUGCUGAUGGAAUGGUUGACAAGGCUGUUGCUCUUUUGGCAAACCUGUCAACAAUUCCAGAGGGUCGACUGGAAAUUGUACGUGAAAGAGGAGUCCCUUUACUUGUUGAACUUGUGGAAUCAGGUUCUCAGAGGGGAAAGGAAAAUGCUUCAUCCAUUCUCUUGCAACUAAGCCUUCAUAGCCGUAAAUUUUGUACUCUUAUUCUCCGUGAAGGAGCUGUUCCUCCUGUAGUUGCAUUAUCCCAAUUUGGUACACUCAGAGCAAAGGAAAAGGUAUCAAACUCAUUCUCUUUUUCUCUUAAACCAUGCACAAGCCUGCUUACUUUGUCUAUAAAAAAGACAAUGCUGCUUAUUUUAAGAGACUUUAUAUUUUUUUAUUGGUAGUAUGUAAUAAACAUUCAAUUGCUUCCUUAAUAGUCACUCAUAUUUUUUUUAUCUUCAAUGAGGUGACUAAUAGACUUCGGUAAAGCAAUUGAAUUUUUUAUGAUUAAAUUUUUGUCGGUUUGCAUAUACUGUCAUUUUGUUACAUUUGGAUCACUUGUUAUUCAUCUAUAGAUAAUACUCUCUUUAAAAUUAAAUAUAACCAAAAAUGAUAUUUGAAAAAAUGAUGUACGUGUUAAAAAUUUAAUCAAAUAUUCUUUUUGGUUAUAUUUUAUUUUAGAGUAACAUAUAGUUGUAUUUUAAUGAUGGACUAAUGGUAACUAACACUCAACUAUUUUAAUGAUGGACUAAUGGUAACUAACACAUUCAGUUUGUUGAAACUAGUUAAUCAAAUUUUACUUUCUAUGAUUAUGCAUUGCUAGUUUAACAAAAUCAUAAUAAACGCUUAAAGAAAUAUUUAUUUUCACAAUGGAGUUUUUCAAUAACACAAAAACUUAUGAGAUGGGGCAGAAACAUUGGUUGUCACGACAUAUAGUAUCUCAUGUACAAAGCAUAAUGUAAAAUGUGGAAGAAAUGCUAAUAUGUUGUUCACAUAUAUGCAGGCACAACAACUUCUUGUUCUUUUUCGUAAUCAGCGUGAUGGAGCACCAGGGAAGGGAAAAUCAUGAAGAUAAACAAUUUUGGUUACUUUGUUGCCUUUUUUCUUUUUCUUACUCCUAUUGAAGGUUGUAGGAGUUCAUUACAAUUUUUCUUUUUUCCUUCUCUUCUUGAAAACAAUUUAAAAAAAAACUGAUUUAUAAAAUAACCAUAUUAUCAGGUUUGAUACUAUGUCUCGAGUGGCAGUUGUGUUUGAGUUUUUUUAUUAUUUAAUAUACACGAAGAAAAAAACCAUUGGUGUUUAGGCGUCUUUAUUUGCAGUUCAAGUGAGUGGUGAAGGGAAAAGAGAAUUGAUUGUAUUCAAGUAAUUAAUUAGACAACAGUUUAGUAGUAGUUGUCGAGAGAGAACCCUGUUGAGGCAUGGAACACGAAUCAACUAGCUGUCUCUGAUCUGUAUAUCUGAUUUUAUUUAUGGAUUCAGAAAUAACAGGGCUAAGUCUUAGUUGUAGUUAAGUUCCUGACUCUUUAGUACCAUCACGUAAUUAACAUUGGGCCCACUCAAGCCCAUUAAUACUUUUUUUUGUCGUAAAACUAUAAAAGCCCCGUAUUAAUAGACACAAUACAAACAAACAGCCUCUUUACAUUUUAGUUCUUUUUAAUCAAUACUAAUUAAUAACGCUGCUCUUUUUAGAAAAGUAAUGUCUUGCCUCUUUCUUUCUAUAAAUCAUUUAUAACAAAUAAUGAUGCUCUUUCAGAAAAGUAAUGUUUUGAUCAAAAUAAAUUAUGGAAUCAUAUAAUAAUAAAUAUAGCAUCAAAUCUUCACCCACCAUCUUAAUGUAAUAAAAAUAUAAAUUUUCUAACUAUAUAUCAUUCAAUAUUUACUUUUUUUUUUUUUAAAUCAAUGGGGAACUUCUAAAUUAACAUUAAAUUCCUUACCCUUCCGAUACAUGUUUCACAGGCUGUAUAAAUUAACAUUAAAUUCCUUACCCUCCUUCCAUGUGCAUCACACGAGACCCCCAUAAUUUGAUCCUCUAUUCCUGCAUAGGCUGACAAAACGUUGCGCCCAAAUUUCCAAUGGAACAUAGGUUAAGGAUAUAUAGUGGGUAGUUAAUAUGAUAUUCACCUUAAUUAAUAUUAUUUUUCAAUUAACUUAAGCUAGUUAACUAGUUCAAGUUCAGCUCAUAUGAAGAAUUAAUUAGAAGGAGAACAAGCUAAAUAUGACUCACACGGUGAAUCAAUGUAAAUCUCUGAAAUAAUUUUUGAACAUAAAUUCUAACAUUAUACACUUUAUAAAUCUACUGUUGAUGAUGAGAAAAAUACACUAGCUUAUUAUGUAUUUUACACGGUGUCGAAUAUAAGAUAUCAAUUUUUUGUGUCUAAAUAACACAUGAUAUAUGUAUUGACUUGUGUGUUUGAGACCCUGCUUUUGCAAGCAUUAACCCUUAGAACUAUAUUGGCUGCAAUCAACAGCUUUUAACUACCAUGUAAUCUGAUGUGUAUAGAGUGUCAAAUCAAAAUCAAAUAAUCUAAAUUUUAAAUUUUAUGUUCAAAUUUUAUAUUUAAAAACAAUUAAAAUCGGACUUCAAAUCUGAACCCUCUUAUUUUGACAGAAAAAUCUAAAUAUACUAAAUAUAGUGCAUCAACUACUCCAAAUCGAUUAACAGAACAGUGAGAUUGACAAUCGAGUAACACAUUAAGAUGUCGCUGUUAAGUUUGUUAAUAUUAAUAUACUAUAGUACAACAUAUAUGUAUAUUUUACAAACUACGAACAGCUGCUUCAUGAAAGGAACAUCAUAAAUCCAGCUUAGAAAAUAAACUACUUCAUUCCUGCGGGGUUUAUAUAUAUAUUAAAUUAAUUGAAUCUAGCGUAGGUUUAGGAAUGGAUGUGAAAUAUAUCACUAAUUUGACCAUAGAUUCUCAUAGGGUAUAGGCUAAAAUCUCAAAGAUCGAGUAACAAAACAAUACGCAUAUAUUAUACAGGGAAUUAAUUAUCUAUUUAAUGAUGUGAAAGGUACUAAUUCAUAAAUUGUCGAGUAUGCUUGAAAGUUACAUUAACUUUGAAAUUCAAUUCAAUAAAAUUAUUUUAAGAUACACUCAAUUCCUAAAUUAACUAGCUAGUAUGAUCCACCCACUUAAAUAAUUAUAAUCUAUGAUCGUGAAACGUGCGGUGUAUCCUUGAAAUAGGGUUUUACUACUACUUGUUAAUAUACAUACUUUUAUAAUAUAUAUGCAUUUUAAGGGAAUAUAGGUAUAAAAUAAAGUACUGUAUAUGAUAGGAACAAGAGAGAUGGAAAUUAAACGACUAUUGAUUGGAAGAGUUUAUUAUAAAUUAUAUGAAAUUGUGAAAGACAAGAAAACAGUGUAAGAUUAUAGUACAAGAUUUUGUCAAGGACAGCCCAACAAGAACUAAAAAAAAUAACGGAGUAUAGAGUUGUUUAUUUAAUUAAUGCCUCCUCUGCAUGCAUGUCCUUUGCAAAAACAGAGAGAUUUUUUGGUCAACUAAACUAAUCUGAAAACGAAUUAAUAUUAAGUACAAAUAAAAUAAAAUAAAAUUACGUGCAAAUAAGAGGGAAAGUGUAGAAGAAAGUUACUCCUAUAUGAAAGCAGGCCUGGACCUUUACUCUGUCUCUCAUUAACGUCAACUAACCAUGAAGUUAAUUACUCAAUGCACAUGAAUAGAUUUAUUUUAUUUUUAAUGAACAUGAAUAAUUUUACUAAAUUUUUUAAUUUGUAUUAUCUCGAUUCAAAUUUCACUCAAUCUCUCUCAAUUCUCUUUAUUUUUUUCAAUUUUUUGAUUAAAAAAAUCGUUAGAUUAAAGUUUUAUAUUAUAAAUAUUAUGUAUAUAAAACUUAACACAAAUCUAAAAUGUUAUAGAGAUUUAUAAAGACAAACAAUUUUCAAUACAAAUGCAUAAAAUAUUUAUUUUGAUAUAUUUCAAUAAUAUAUUAAAUAAUUUUAUAUUUGUAUAAAAAUUUAUUUACACGAUGUAUAUACUAUAAACUUUUAAUUUAAAUUAAAAAAAAUAAUAAAAAUAAAAUUAAAAUAAAUAAAAGAAUUGAACGAGAUGGUUAAACUCUAAAUUUUCUUAUUUUUGAAUUUAUUUUAUAUAUAUAAAAAUGUUAGUUAAAUUAAUUAUUUUUUCAUUCGUUGGCAUUCCAACUCUGAUUAUUUUAUUCCUUCAAGAUUUUAAAUCAAAUCAAUUGAACUAUUUAAUCUAUUAUAUUUUCAGACUUAAUCAAAGCACCGAUAGUCUACAAAUUAAUCACCUAUUUUAUGUUGAAGUUUAUGUAUUAAAAGAAAAGAACUGUGAUACAAAAAAAUAGAAAAGAACUAAAAAAGAAUGAGAACCGUAAAGAUCAAACUUUGAACUAUUUAACGGAUCAUGAUUUGCUAUAAUUUGGGAUCACGCAUUUUCGUGUUGUAUUUCAUCUGAGCCGUGUAUUUUAGAUCAAACGUUUCAUAACACACUGUUAAUUUAAUUGCACGAUAUAAUCUCAAUCGUUGAUCUAAAUCAUAUAAUUGAGCACUAUAACUACGUAACCCAGUCCCAACAUAGAAUCAAAUUCUGACUGAAAAAUACAAACUUUGAUGGGAUGCUAUGUUUUUUGUUGUUGAUGGACACAGACAUAGACAAUGUCAAGUAUCGUCAAGAAGGUUUAGUCCUAUGGUUUCGAAUACGACAUCGAUGAGUAUUAAGAAAUAAUAGUUUUUUUAAAAUAAAAAAAUGAAGGGAUAUUAAGAAAGUUAAGAGGUUCAAUAUCUUUUAGGAAGACCAAUAAGCACGAAAACUCACGAAUGGUUUAAUAGUGUAGGAUAAAUCUUUUUUGUUUUUAUUAUUUAUUUUUAAUUCUCCCAUGUAUUAUUUGCAUCCGCUUGAUUUUCAUCGUCCAUGUUUCGUGCGCUGGAGUGUCGUGCUAUACAGUAGUUCCACUCUUAUGCAAACUUGAAAAGCCAAUAAAACUAAUUUUAUUAAAACCAAAAAGCUAACCAGACAAUUAAAGAAUUAUCAAAUUAGAAAAACAAAAUCAUUAUUCAUAGAAGUUCCUGCAAUGACAAUAACUAAGUAAUUGAAUGAAAUGUAAAAAUUAAAUUUUAAUUAAAAGCAAAUCAAAUUUAAAAUAUUUAAUUUUUAAUAUAUUUACGUAAAAUGGAAUUGAAUAUUAAAUUAAAAUACAUUUUAAAAAUUAAAAGGUACAAACUAUAACUUUAACUUAUAAUUAAUUUUAAAGGUAAAAUAAAUUUUACUUUAAUAAUAAUAUAUUUAAAUAUAAUUUUUUUUCUUAAAAAAAAAAAGACCGUACAGAGUCGCAAAAGUGACGGAAAUAGAUGAGAUAGUAACGAAAAUUGCAAAACCCCUUGAGCAUGAGCACCCAGAUGCAGAACCCUGCAGGCUGCUGCAAUGCAACAUGUUUCACUAUCUAGUUAUCGUUCGUUGCUCUCGUGCCUGCACAAUUUUGCAGCAGUUACCUAACAAUAAUCCAACGUAAUUAAAAACGAAUUAUUGCACCCAAGAGGCCAGACUACGCAAGUCUCAAAAUUAAAUCAACCACAAUAAUUAAGUUAUAUUUCAAGUAUCAAAUACCGAUAUUGUUAAGUUUAACCGACUUCAAAUAAGAGAAUACCAAUAUUAUUAGGUUUAAUGCGAAUUUAAAUAAAAAAUCUAUGAAUUAAUUGUAGUGGAUUUUUUUAUCUUUUUUAAAUUAAAAAAAAAAAUCAAACUCAAUUUAAUAUGCUUAUGUUUACUCUCUCUCAAAAUAAUUGACAAUUUUAAUUUAAAAUGUAAUUUUUUUAUUAUAUAUUUUAAUUUAAUAUUACUUAUAUUAUUUUCAAUGUUACAUUUAUUCUGUUUUAAUUAUAUAUAUUUUUAAUAUAAGAUGAUUAAAUAUUUUAAUUAUUUUAUUACAUAAUUUGUUUUGAAUAUUAGCCAGCAUUAUGUGGAAUAACUAACCUGAACGAGACCAAAACUAGUUCAUCAAAUUAAGCUGUAAAUAAUAAGAAAUUAGUUUCUUUUCAAUAUUAAUGGGAACACAUAAAAUUCGCUUUAUAUCAUUAACUACAACAAAAAUCUCUCUAAUUUUCUCGUCACUAAAUUGACUUUAUAUUUUAAUUUAUGUCUCUAGAUUUUCCUUGCUAAUUUAAUCUUUUUGAAUAGUAAUUUCACAGUUACGUAUUGAUAUCAACAUUAAUUAAAAUUCUGUCUGACAAAAACAUAAUAUCAACACCAAUAGUUUUUUGAAAUAGCUGAUUCACUCUAACUCUAUUAAAUCACCAAACCACGUAAUAACUUUCGGCCAACCCAUGUACCGACAUUAACUAAUUAAUGUAGAUAUUAUCAUAGUAAUAUUAACAUUCACUAGCAGAUAGAAAAAAUUAAAAGAUGAAUUUCAUGUUUUAAUUUUUCUCUAGAUUUUCACGCUAAUUUAAUAUUUUUUCAGUAGUAAUUUCCCAUUUACUACAUUAACAUCCUGUAAAAAUAAGUAUGUCGACAAAAUCUCAAUAUCUACGUUAAUCUAUAAAUGUUUUGAGGGAAUUUACUAAUUUAUUAACAAUAGAGUAAAAAAUUUAUUAUAAAAAUAUUUGACAUUUUAUACGAAGGAACAUUAAUAUCUUAAGCUAUCUUUUAUAAAAAUUAGCGGUAAAGUUUAAUUUUUCUGUUAAAAUAAGUUUUUAUUUAUUUAUUUUGAACUGUGUGUUAUAAAAUCAUAUUAACAUAUAAAAUGUUAUGUUUUGAUUAAUAUAAAUCACAUUUAUUUCUCUCUUUUUACCACUUGUAUAUAUCAAAUUUGAAACAUUACAAAUCUCAUGAAACGGUCUCUAAUUUCUAUUUUCAUGAAAUACUUUAUCCGUUCACAUUAAGUUAUAUGUUAUAUUGAAACACAUUUAAUAUUUUAUAUCAACUUAAAUCAAAUCAUAAUUAGAUGAAUUUGUUCUUAAUAAUCAAAUCCAAUGAAUUUUUACUCUGCUGUUAGUUUUUAUCUUUUAAAUUUAUGAAUCCCCAUAUAAUUUUUCCACACAGACAGUAAACAUGCGUAGGGGACGGGUCCACGGUGAGGAUAACGUAGACUCGUGCCUCUACUUGCAUUUUGAUUUCCUCCAUAUUAUAGUAGUAUAUUUAUUCUCUAGCAAUAUAAUUUAUAAAUAUAAUAUGGUAGUAUAUAUAUGCAUGCAGUUAAAAACAUUUAUUUCAUUGUUUUUGUUUCAUCUCACUUUUCUUAAUUUUUGUAAUAAGAAAACUUACAAAUAUAGUAAAAAAAUGUUAUGUGAUGUUUUAAUGUUAUAAAUAUAUUAAAAAUAUAUUUAACCUUUAAAUAUAAAUAACUUUUUAUAUACACAGGUCAUUUAAUACUGAUAGCAUGUUUGAUAUCGAGGAAUUCAUUUGAUAUUUUUUUUGUUGAAUUUUGAUUAUCAUUAUUUAUUAUUACUUAAAAGGAUGGUGAGAAGUGGACAAAGGUAGUGUCAGAAAUGAAAGUAUUUACAUUUUGAAAGAGAAAAGGAAAGGUUAAAAAGGGUAAAUUGGUAGGGGCAUUAGAGUCAAUUGAAAAGGAAGUGUCAUUCAAAACUACAGGAGUCAAGAAAAGAAAAGAGAAUCAUGUUAUUCCCUCAUUUUUACCCCCUCCAAACUUUUUCCUGUCUCCAUCCAAACCUACUGUCCAACUUUUCUUUCCUAUUUCCUCCAAACCCUCUCUCUCUCUCUCUCUCUCUCUCUCUCUCUCUCUCUCUCUCUCUCUCUCUCUCUCUCUCUACAUCAAGAAUGAAAUAUAUUAAUAUAACCAUUAACAAGCUAUGAUAUCAUGAACCAAGUUUGAGUUUGUUUCACCCUUUUAAGGAAAAAAUAUCAGAAAUCAAAGCUUCUAAAAAAUACACUGCUAUAUCUUUGAGAAGAGCUUUCUAACUAUAUAUACUUCAAUUAACACUUCACAAUACUCAUCCAAUCAAUCUCAUCACACAUUGAAAAGAAAAAAAAAAGAAUUCCUUCUUUCUGCUUCAUCAUUUUCAGGUAUAUAUCUCCUAUUUCUAUCUCCUAAAAUAAACACAACAAAUUCUGUAACCUACCAAUUAACAAUCAGAAUUUGUUUCCUUUCUUUCUUCAAAAGUUGUUCUUGAUUUCAUUUUAAAGAAACUUGUAAAAGGAUUAUAAAAAAUCAAACAAGAAAUCAUUGAAAUUAUAAGUAUAGUAACUCUCAUCUCACUCUGAUCACAGGAACCCUAGAAAAACAAGGUACUCCUGUCAAAGCAACUUUGGAUCUACAAAGCAAAGAGUUGAAGGAAAUUAAUUAAAGUUGAAGUAUAUAUAUAUAUAUGGAUUCAAUUCAAGAAUUUAUAAACACAUGUAACAUUGAAAACAGCUGCAACUUCAUGAAUAACAACAACAGUAUAAGCAGUACAACAAGCUUAACAACAACAGCAAGUGGAAGUUCUUCAUCAUCAGCUGUUUCAACCAUCACCACCAACACACCAAACAGUAGCAGCCGCUAUGAGAAUCAGAAACGCCGUGAUUGGAACACUUUCGGUCAGUAUCUUAAGAAUCAUCGACCUCCUCUUUCGCUCUCGCGGUGCAGCGGUGCACAUGUUCUUGAAUUUCUCAGGUAAAUAUGUAAAUAUAAUCAACAUGCACCCUCUCUUUCUUUUUAUUUCUAUCUCUAACACUACAUAUCAAGGUUUUAAAUAGCACUUCCAAUUGCAUCGCAAUUCUUAAUAUUAGUUUGUGACAUAUAAAACACAAUUCUUUAUGUUUUGAAAUGGAUCUUCUAUAGCAAAUGGAAGAGAGAGUAAGAGAGAAGAAGAAUUGAUGAGAGAUGGAAAGUGGAGAAGAUCCAAAUCGCUAUUGAAAUUGUAGUCACAUAUUUUUGAAAGUGUUGAUUAUGUAUAAAUAUAUCUCAGAAUAAUAGUUGAAUGUGUGUAGGUACCUGGAUCAAUUUGGGAAGACAAAAGUUCACACACCAAUAUGUCCGUUUUAUGGACAUCCAAACCCUCCAGGGCCAUGUCCAUGUCCUCUAAGACAAGCAUGGGGAAGCCUUGAUGCACUAAUAGGUCGUCUUCGUGCAGCCUUUGAAGAAAAUGGAGGAAAACCAGAAGCUAAUCCUUUCGGUGCUCGAGCAGUGAGGCUCUACCUUCGUGAGGUUCGUGAUCUUCAAUCCAAAGCAAGAGGAAUCAGUUACGAAAAGAAGAAAAGAAAGCGUCCACCAUUGCCAACACCACCUCCUACUGCUGCAAACUCAUUAGAUAUCAUCAAUUGACACUCUUCUCUUAAUCAAUGCUCUUUUUAUUAUCAUAUUUAGGGUUUUUAUUUUUAUUUUUAUAAUAAUAUUAUGUGAAAGCUGCUGUGAAAUCUGAUGAUAGAUAUAAGACUGUUUGUUUGUCUUUGGAUUCUGUUUGGUUGCAGAUGAAAAAGUGUUCAAAUUCUGAUAAAUCAUUUAUCUGCUUUUAAAGAUUUAGCAGAGACUGUUAUGUUGCUUGUACUCAUAGUAGACUCGCAGUGGACUGGAAAAGUUGAAGCUAGUCAUCAUAGUGAUUCUCAACAAGGAACCACUUACUUACAAUCACAGUCACAACCAUGGCAUUAUUAUUAUUUAUUAUAUAUGUUUAUAUGUUUUUGUACAAUUAUUCAAUAUGUCAAACUUAGACUUGCAGCACAUUAUAUGUCUUUAAUCACAUAUGCAUACUUUCUGUUGGAACAUAUAUAUAUUAUAUGUUAUAAUAAAAUUUCUAUUUUUGAAGGCUUGAAUUUUACUACAAUUGUUACUAAUUUGAUGUGUCACAAAUAGAAUUUAAGUUUCUAACUUUCAAGAUACAUUUGUGGCAAGUUUUCACUUCCAUUUAGAGAUGCAUAUAAUACAUAGUAAUGUGGAUAACACUAUUUGAGUCUAAUGUAUAUAUUGAUGUGAUAAUUAUUUGUUCAUAUCUAUCUAUACAAAAAAAGAUCUUUUUCUUAUCAUAGCUUACUUUUAUAAAUUCCUUUCAUCUGAUUAGAUACUUGAAUUGGAGUAUUGUUUUAGUAUGAAAGAGAAUACUAUAUAGAAAGUUUAAUGAUUCAUAAUAAUAAUGGUUAAUCGUUAAACAAAUAAAUUACUUUCUUUUGAUAAUAUUCUAUUUCAUUCUUGUGUGCAAUGCAGUAGUGCUAUCAUUUCAACUUAUACCAAACAAAAGAAAAUUAAUUAAUGGCAGACAAUGUAAUUAAUUUGUAUAUCACUGAACCUUCAAUUAUUUGUUUCAUAUACUUUAUGCUAGCUAAAAUAUGGUUUUCAUCUCAAUAAAAAUAAAAAUAAAAAUUAAUUUUCUUUAAUAUUCUUAGAAUGGUUUAUGUUAAUCUAUUCUAUUCAUCUCCAUUUAUUUGGUUUGAAAUACUGGUCAUGCAGGAUUAUUGUUAUUUUUUUAAAAUAGAAAAAAAAUAUGUUAAAACUGAAAUAUAAGAAUAUAUUCCAACUCAAAUAAACCUUAAAAAAAGGAACCAAGAUCAAACAUAAUACAGGUCAUUCUCAUUCAAAUAUUUCUAAAUCCAAUUCGUUGAAUAAUGUCAUUAAGACAAUCGUUUUAUACCUCAAAAUAAAGUAAAUUUUUUACUUAAUUAAUAGUCGAUCCUCCCGUGAUCAUGCCAUCAUCAUAAGUUCAUAACCCUACAUAUUCUACUAUUUUAAAACUAAAGUUUAAAAAAACUAUCUAAAAUAAAUAAUUUCCAACAAAGAUUAAAUAGAUUGACUUUAUUAUUGAUUGAAAAGAAAUAUCAAAAGAAAUCAAUUUCAAUAAUUUAAGAAAGAAUUUUUCAAUCUAAAACCUAUAUUAAAAAUAAAUUUUCAUAUGAAGGGUAAUUGGCAUAUUUAAAGAUAUUAUAAAUAGAGUUUAAACAUAUGUCAUAUAAAAUUAGAUUAUCUAAAAUAUAAUUUUAAAAUAUAUCAAAAUGUAAUUUAAUUUAUUAGUCUAUUAACUAGUUAAUUUAUCUAAAGAUAAGUUAUUUGAAUAAAUUAUUAUAAAAUAGACUUUUAAGUUAACAUACAACUUCUCAAGAGUACUUAGAUGAGAUGACACUUGUCUCUUCUAACUUAAUCAAAGUCGUAAGUUCGAACCUAGACUUGAGCAUGGAACAACAUUAAAAAAUUUAGUGAGAAUUUAUCGUCCAUUUAAAUUCUACCAAACUCUCAAGAUAAAUUUAUUAAGUUGUACAUGAAGGAUACUCUGGCUUACACUAAAAUAAUGUAUAACUUUAAAAAAUAUCAAACUCGAGUCUUAAAAUAAGUCUAUAACAAAUAAUAAGUCAUAUUUUAGCUUUAACUUUUUAUAUAAGUUUCUUGUAAAGUUUCUUUCAAGUAACAUUAUUUUUAUUUUUUUAUAAACAAAUAUUAGUAAUAAGUUAAUUUAACAUUUUUUACAAUUUGAAUUUAUCCGACAAGUUAGCUGUCCUAAAAUAUUGUGUUAUCUAUCCUUUUUGUAACGUGAUCUAAUUUUUUCUUUUAUGGCUCAAAAAGAAUAAUUUUCCUUAAUCCCUCUGGGUGGAUGAAGAGACGCCUAUUAAGCUUUUUAUUUUUUGUCACAAGCAAAACCCAAUAGGACAUAUGAUAUAUGCUGUAGAUCAAGAUUAGCUAAGCUUACGACACCUAAAAGUUAUUCUAGUGGGACAUACAAGUCUACCACUUGUGAAGACAUAAAGGAUCUAUUCUUUCAUGUAAUUAUUCAUAUAUAUGGUGUUUGUUUGUUUUAAGAUGUAAUCAUAAUUUCAACAGCAACAAAAAAAUAUAAGGAAUAUUAUGUCCAUGAUUGUCGUUUUCAAGUGAUGUGUGUGCUCUUGUGUCUACAAUUAAUGUGCUUGGUAUAAUAGUCUAUAUAUUAAUGUGAGUGUAGGUUAAUAAAUAAAUUGUUUUACUUAAGAAUAAUGAUAUGUGCUUGCCAUUGAUCGUCUAACAAUCCAUGAUUUAGCUCUAUGAUUGAAAAAUACCUCAGAACCAAUGGAAUUAAUAUCGUUAAUUAAUAACAAAUGAGUAAAAUGUUGAAUGUAUAGAAAAAAUAACUCAUAGACACAUUGUCAAUUAUGUUUAGAUGUAAUGUCAAAAUUUCUUUAGGGAACAUUAAUUGUUUCACUGUGUAAUAAGUCGAUUUAUUUUAAUAUUUUUAGUUAAAAUGUAUAUAUAUUAAAAUGUUCCAUGGAAAGCCAGCUGAAGAAGUGUGUUUUGGAGAGGAUCUAAUUUGCACGACCUAAAUUGGUCUUAGUCACUAAUCUCUCAACUCAAAAAUCUCACUUAGCAUCCAUAUGUAAACUUAGCCUCCCCUUUGGCAGAAACAAUACUCCAAAUCAACAAUGACUGGUCGAUACCAAUAAACAUAUAACUCUCAUAAAAAAACCACAACACAUUACCAAGGUAAAAGUUCCAUAAAAAAAAUUUGCAUCCAAAGGAAGAAUAACCUUAAUUAUAGUAAUAUUGGAUAUUGAAUAUUGUGCAAAAUAUUUGUCCUCAAUGAAUCACACGUACACAUGCACAAGGCAGUGAUAACUAGCGAAUAGUGCUAACAAAUGGGGCAAUAGAGGCCCAAUAGGGUAGUAAGUAAAGUUUUUUUUUAUUAAAUGGAAUAUAAGAAGUAUUUUAACCUUUACAAUUAAAAAAAAAAGCACAAUCUUAAUCCAACAUAAUAACAAGUAGUAACUAUUCACAUAUCUGACAACAACAAAAAGCCUAAUACAAAACAAACACUACAACCAUCUUAAACAAGGGAUGCCCCCACCUUCCCACAACAUAGAUUCCCUACAAACUGCCUAUAAGGUAGUAAGUAAAGUGGCCCAAUGUUUGUUUAGCUUUUCCAUAUAUACUCAUUAUGGUAGUUAUUUUAAACCAAUACUCAAAAUAAUCUACGUCGAUUCAUAUUUACACAUCACUUAUUUAUAUUUUUUUACUGUUAAUUUCUAUAAAAACUUAAUUAUUUCAAUGCAAUAUUUCUACAAAAAUUACAAUAUUGGUGUCUAUUUACCACUUUUUGUUUCAUCCUUCAAUAGAGGUGGCUAAUAAGAUGAAUCCCUAUUAACCAAAGUAAAUUUCAUUGGUGAUAUUGGUCUAACAUAAUUGGCUGAGCUCCCACGUUAUGAAGAAUACAUUUUACUGUUUUACGGAUCCAAGCGCAGAAUUAUCAGCUACUAGAAACGGACCACAAUAUGUUGCAGUUCGGGACUAUGUCAUUUUACUAUGUAUUUCAUCUCAACUCUUCACUUUAGAUCAUAUAAUUACAAUAAAAAUAUUAACUACUACUUAAAUAUAUUAUUAUUUAAUUUAAUUAUUCAGAUUGAAAUAAUUUUUAUAUCUGUAAACAUGAUGCGGUGGAUAUAUAUAGGAUUCUAUAUUUAACAAGAGAAAAGUUUAAGGAAAUAGAUUAAAUAUUCAUUUCGAAAUUCUUUUUAUUGUCUGGUUUCUUGUAACUAAUAUGAGAAUAUGGAAAUAAAUGGAUUUUUUUUCUCUACUUUUAAUUUUACCCCUAUUUUUCUUUUCUCAUUUUUUAAAUCUCAUCAUAAUUACAAAAUUGUUUUCCUUUCCCUUACCUUUCUUUCCUCUCACUUUUCUUGUUUAAUAAAUCAAACAUAGAAAUAAUGAUUUUAAUCUAUGUUGUUGGGAAUGGGUUGAUUAACUACCUUGGAUAUAGGAUUCUAAUUUUUAUGCUUUUAUGUGUGAAGUAACAACGUUCCCAUAAUGCGAUAGUAAACAAACUUGAAUCUUCUACACAUUCUUUACUCUCUAUCUUUUAUUUUGUUUCUCUCUCUUCCAUUUGAUGGAGAGGAUCAACUUCACAAGGUAUACAGUGACCAUUCCAAGUGAUGGAUGUCAACGUAGAUUUUGAUGAGCUCAAAAGGAUUGGCCACGGUUUGGAUCGAUGGGGUGGAUAUGUAGGUGUAGAAGAUGGAUACGUCCAUCCAUCCAUGACUUAUGAAACCUUUAAUGUUUUGCUUGGAAAAUUGAGGAUAUAACUAAUAAGUUAGUUGAUAGGUGAACUUUAAAGUUAAUUCAUUUAGGUUGAAUUGUUUGAUAAGAGUAGUAGUUAAUAUAUAGUUAUAAAAUAUGUAAAAUGACAAAAACUAUUUGUAAUUAAUUUUUUUUUAAUUAAGACAAUCAGAGUAAAAAUUGAAGAAAAAAUAAAACGUUAUAUGUUCAAUUAUUACUUCAAUUAAUUUUAUCAAAAAACGUUACAAAUCCAUAAAAAAAAUAUUAUCAAAUAAAACUAUUAACUUAAACGCUAUAAACUAUAUCCGAUGUAAAUAUUUUUUUUGUUUUAAAUAGACCGUGUGACUUUAUUUGAUAAAUUGUGGAUAAGCUAGCAACUAACCUAAUAAAUUUGAAAUUACUAAUAAAAUGAAGUGAUAGAUAUAAAAUAAUAUUUUUUAAAUUAUUUAUUCCGUCUUACUGUGAGUGACUCGAUUAUAAUUAAAAAUUAUCUCAAAAUGCACAUAUUCUUCCAAAUUUUAAUGUAUUUUUCUUUUUUACUCUGAAAUUAAUACUCAUUAUGUCCUAAACACACCCUUGCUAACAAUUUGGCAUCUGUAAACUAUUAAGAGCUAACAAUUUGGCCUACAUGACAAAAGUAAUUUUUCUUACGAAAUUGCACACGCACGUGUAAAUAUUUUAAACAAGGAAAUAUAGAGUUUCUUUUUCGUGUUUGCUAGAAAUAACAGCUAGGACAGACAAAAAAAAAAGAAAGAAACACAUAUAGGAAAAGUUGAAAUGAGCCAAUAACAGUUUGUUGGUCAACAACAUCAAUUGCGUAUUUGCAUGUUUGGAUUCCACCGAAGAAUCGUGCAUGUUAACGCAGACCCCAUCCGGAAUCUCCGUUGGCACUACAAGACUAAAAUAACACUGUGAGUCAGUAACUUGGUACUACGUAACCGAUGUGACAUGUCCUUCAUUUUUCUUCACAAAAUAAUCAUAUUUUUUAUUUAAACUAAAAUAGAUAAAUUAAUUGAAAAUAAUAUAAAUUUGUUAUAUCCAUGAAUAACAUUAAAUUGAAAAUUGUUUACAAAUUUAAAAUAAAAUAAAAUUAUCGAAAUACUUACAUUAUCACUCUGCAAUGUUUACAACUUUAAAGUGAUUGGUUGAAUUUUUUAGAUAUAUAUUAAAUUAAUUUUUCUAUUUUAAUAAAAUAAAUAUUAUAAUAAAAUGAAAAAAUAAAUAAAUUUGCACCGAAAAAACAAACAAAACAUCAUAACAUAAAUACAUAAAGAAAAUAUAAAUUUACAAAAAAUCACUUAUUUUGAUUAAAAAGUACAUAAAACAAUAUAGAAUAAUAAAAACAAUAUAAAAUUAUGAUACCAGACUAAAAAUAAUUUAUAUUUUUUUAAGAUAAAGAAGAAAUAGUUAAAUGAACAAAAAGUUUAGAUGGCUAUAUUAAAAACAUCAUGUCUUUAAUAUAGUUUGUAUUUUUCUUAUGAGAGAGAAAUAUCAACAAAUAAAUUUUUGUUUACUUCAAAACUAUAUUAAUUAUUUUUUUUACAUAAACAAUAUUCAUUAUUGAUAGAAUAGAGAAGAACACACUUUUUCAAAAUAAAAUAAAAUAGAGAAUAUCACAAAUUCAUAGUUACUAAAAGACUUAAUUGCAGUUUUAGUCAUCGUAUUUUAACUGAAUCACAAAAAUAAUCUUCUAUUUUAUUUCUCCUCAGUUUUGGUCCCCUAAAUAAAAAUUUGGUCUAAAACUUGAUAAAGUGUCAUUUUUUAAAAUCAAACCACACCAUUUAUGAUCAUAGAUUUCAAGUACAAUUAUUGCACCACGAGAUAUUGAAGCAUAGUGUGACUUAAAUAAGCGCAAAAAAAUGACAUUUCAUCAAGUUUUGGAUCAAAAUUCUAUUUGAAAUACCAAAAUUAAAGAAAAAUAAAAUGGAGAGACUGUUUUUGUGAUUCAGCUAAAAUAGAGGAAUUAAAACUGCAAUUAAACCUUAUUAAAAUUAAAAUUAAAAAUUCCAGCAAACACUUAAGUUGCAUUUAAGUGCUUUCUUUAAAGGCAUUUGCGUGUUGAUAAUUCCAUUAUUUUAUAUAUGUGAUUACUGAUUAAUUAUUAUAUAUUCUAAUAUAUUUUAAGGACACUUGUUAAAAAUAUAAAUUUAGAAUUAUAUGAAAAAUAAUUUAUAUAUAGAUAUAAAAUAUUAGAAGUUGUAUCCGUAAGGUUAAGAUCAAUUGUUAAAUGUUGAAAUUGUUAGAUCGAAUAUCAUGUUUUUGAUUCGAACUUUGGAAACUCAUAGUUACAUAUGAUUUUUUAUCUUUGCAUUUAAAGAAAAUAUUAUAAAUAUUCUCAAUUCAUUAAUUAAAAAAUUCAUAUAAAAAAAUAUGUAGUAAAAUAUACUCCAGUAUCAAGACUGAUAAUUAAAGUAACAAUGUUGAUUUAUAAGGAAGUGGGUUUGAAUUGUAAAUGUUUCUAUUUAAAAAUUUCUGAAAAACUUAAGGAUUUAACUCAAGAAUGAUCUUGGUUAAGAAAACACAAAACAAAUAACGUUAUUGGCUUUCACCAAAAAAACGGAUAACGUUCUUGAUUAGUUUGAAAAACAGAAAUUCAGUUUAUGUUUUAAUUCAAGUAAUUAAUCAGGUUUAAUAAAUAAGGAGAUAACAAAAAGAAUACUACACAAGGAUGUAUCGUGAUUCAUUCAACUUGUGCUACGUCCAAAAACUCACAUAAGUGUUUAAAACAAAUAACCUUCUGGAUUUUACAACACCUAAUUCAUAUCAGACUUGAUCUAUUACAAGAUAUAUUUCUUUUCACCCAGAAAGAUAUAUAUUUCUUUUCACCCAGAAUAGAUAUAUAUUUUAUUUAUUGCAUUUUUUUGAAAAAUAACUUGAACCAUCUUAAUUUAUGCGUGUUUGAGAAAUGACGAUCAUGGAAUCAGGUUAAUGACUAUUGUAUUUUUUAAUACGUGGAAAUAAACUUAAAUAAUAUUUAAUUAAAAAUAGAGGAAUUAAUAUUUAAUUUAAUAUAAAAAAUUUAACUUUAUAUUUUCAUUUUAAUUUAUUAAGUGAUACGUUUAGCAAUUUGUGGUGUAAAAGCUUCAAGUUAUUUUGUGGUGAGACCCACCCAAAAAUGUAUUGUCACUAAUCACUAUACCAGACAACGGGGGCAGGUCUGCACGUGUAGCUUACACUCUUUUGUACUUUGGUUUUGGGAUUUGAGUUGUCAAAAAUGAGUAAUUAAUUUUAAAAUUUAAAAUAAAAAAUAUCAUCAAUAAUUGAAUGAAUUAUAUUAUAUUAUAUAUAUAUAUAUAUAUAUAUAUAAAUUAAUUAUGAAUAAUUAUAAUAUUAAUAAAUUUUGGAGAAUUGAACGUGGACAUUUUCUUUUCGUAUAAGACCAGAGAUGUCGAUACCAAUUGACAUGGACAACCUCAAAAAACAAAUAUUUUUUAAAUAAAUAAUUAUAAUUUUAUAGUUUCUUAUAAAAAAAUAUUUAUAUAUCUAUUAAUAUAUCUAUUUUCUUUUAAAAAAUUUAUCACUUAAUUAAUAUAUCUAUUUCUAUUAUUUUUUAUAUUUAAUCUCUACUGUACUUAUAAAUAAAAUAUUUAUAAUAAUAAAAAUUAUUAAGAUAUGAUUUAAAAAUAAAUUUAAAGAUAUAUUUCUUGUAAAUAGUUUAGUUUUUUUAUAUUAAAAAAAUUAUAUUAAUUAUCAUAAAUUUAAUUAUUUAAAGUGUCAUUUAGUAUUAUUUUAUCAAUAUAUAAUUUGCUAAAAAAAAUUGGUCAUCUCUUAGCGUAGAUUCGCCGUUGUAUAAGACAUUCUCUUUCUUUAAACAACUAACAAAACAAAAUAUAAUUUGCUUUCAAAAAAUUUAUGGCAACUAAAAGAUGCAUUCCCAUUGAUUAUUUUCUUUUAGGACAGUUGAAAUUAAUUGAUUUCCUUAGUUUUUAUUUAAUCGAGUUGAUCCUUUUUCGCAUAAUAUAUCAUGUUUGAUCGAGACAAAUCAAUCUGUUCAAGUGAUCUGUCAAAUAAUUAUGCUAUGUGUAUCACCGAUUAGCCCAGAUGUUGGAUUUCCUUUUUUCUUAUUGGUUUAAGGAGGAUUCACUGCAUGUCCAUAAAAUAAUUAUCUAUUAAAUAUUUAUUUUCCUAUCAAAUUUAAAGACCAAUAUAAAAUAAAAGGAGGGAUACUAAUAAAAAUAGCGAUACAGUUUAGUUUAUUUGUAAAAAUACGAUAUUUUAUUUUAGUUUAAUUUAAUUUUCAAUAAUAAAAUUAGUGAUUGUGUUUUUGUUAAUUAAUUUUAUCUUAAAAAAAAUAUUAUAUUAUAAUUAACUCAAACAAUUGUAAAAUUUUAAGUUUGAAUAGAACAAAAUAUUUUAUAUUAUAAUAUUAAUUUUUAUCAUUUGAACUACGAAUUAACAACUUUAGUUUAUUUUAUUUGAGUUUAAAUUUUUAUCUUUUUUUUACUAAAAAUAAAAUAUUCUAUUUUUAAAAUAAGAUAUUGUUUUAACAUAAGCAAGUUUAUAAAUGAGAAUUAUAGCGGAGAGACCCAACACCCACCUCAAUGACAUUAAUUACAGAAUUGCAAUAACCACAUAUUUAUGCUCAAUGAAUAAGAAAAUUAUGGAUGCAUUAUAAUCAGUUUCGUUGACCAAAUUAUUGAGCGUAAAAAGCAAAAUUGUUUACUUGUAUUAAUAUCUUUUUUUUAUAUUGAAUUGAUAUUUUUUUUUAUUAGAGUAGAAAUAUGUAAUUUUUUAAUUAAUUAUAGAUUAAAUCAAUUUUUAUAUAAUUACGAUGUUUUAGGUUUGAAUUUAAAAUGUGAUAUUCAAUCUAAUAAUUUUAAUAUUUGUUAAUUAAGUUAGAUCUUAUAAAUAAGGUUGACUUCUAACGAUAAAUCAAUUUUAAAAAUAAAAUUAAUGUAAUUAAAUGGAGAUUAUAAACUAUCACUCAAAACUUUAGCUAAUGAAAAAAAAGGUAAGUCUCUAACCUAAACGUCUCACACACAAAAUAUUCUGGACGAGCAAUAACUUAAUGAAACUCAAUAUUGUCACUUUCACUGUUCUUCUGUUGCGCGGGCCUUCGAAUCGGUUUUGGGCCUCAUUGAAAUCAAAGACUAGCUCUUCCAAAAAAGACUUUCAGCACAUAGUUUGUCUUCAGUUCGUCUGGAUGGUAGCUUACUCUAUCAUCCUCUAUGUUUUUAAAAGUUUCCACGAUACAUUAUGAAUUUACCAUUCCAAAAAAUAUCAAGAAGUGAGAGGAGAAACUAUUGUCUUCGUCAGGAUUGGCCUCAUUUAGGUUACACCCCAGCGGUUUGUCCUAUACUCCCAACAAUUCAAUAAAAUUAGUAGUCAUUCAACUAUUCUAAUAAAAAAACAAUUUUAUUUAUAAAUAUUUUAGAAAAAUUCAGAACACAAGUUAGGAAAAAUUUAAGAUAAAGAGAUGGUGUCUCAAUUUAAAAUACAUAAUAUUUUCAACUUUAUCGAAUAUAUAUUGAAUCUCACGAGAGCACCACCAGCUUGUGCGAUCUCCCCCAUUGUAUUUGAGGGAAGAUUUUCAUCUACAUGGCGUGAACUAACGUUUUUUAGUUUGAUUCAAUCACGACCUGCAACCACCCAUUAUCCGACGUGGACUUUAAUUUAAUAAUAUCAUAAAAUCUAUUUAAAAUUUAAAUAGUUGGAUUACCUUGGAAGCCGUAACCGCACUUCUAAAUGUAAUCCAAAAGUAUUGCAGCGAGGAAGCCUUCCAUAGUCACAAGAUUAUGUUACAAGUUUUAGGUUCACUAAAAAAAGUAAACUGUAGAAAUAACUUUUUUUUUUUAAAAAAAAAUUUUAAAUAAUUAAAAAAAAUUAUCAUAAAAAUCAUAAAAGUUAUGUUGAAUCGAUUUGAAUUAAUAAAUGUUUUUUUAGUCAAAAAAAUAAAAUUAAUAUUUUGUGAAUGUGUUUUGAGUAUGUUUGAAUGAGGUAAUUGAAAAUUAUAGAGAAAUUAUAAUUAUAGGUAAUUUAAAUGCUUCAAUUGAACUCAUUUUAAUUCUAAAUUUUGUUGUUUUGAUAAAAAAAAAUUAUUCUUUUAAAAUUAAACUCUUUUUAUAAAUUUAAAAAGUUUAGAGACAAAUAUGAAAAAUAAAUUUAAGCCAAAAUUGACAUUUAAAAAAAUUAAGGCACUAUUUUGGAAAUUUUAAGGAAUCAAUUUACAAAUUUGAAAAUUUUUAGAGAGCAAUUCGUAAAAAUAAAAAAUAGGUACUAAUAUGAAAAUUUUGAAAUAUAUAAGAUUAAAAUUAUAAAUUCAAAAAUAUUAUAGUGACUAUUUCAUGAUUUAUAUAUGAUAGUGACAUUUGAAAUUUAUCUAAAUUUAUCUUUGAAAAAAUAGUUCAUGACAUCUUUCAUUUUGAAAGUUCUCUGUAUAAGAUAAUUUGCAUUAGAGAAUUUGAAUUCUUUAAAAAAAAUUACAUUCCCUAAAAGUUUCUUCAUCCAAACACAAUCUAAGAGAUUUAUAUUUGUUUUUGAGCAAAAAUACACAUGUAGUCAUCAAAGUUUUAUUUUAUUCUAAUUUAAUCAUUUAAAUUAUAUUAUAUUUGUAUCGUUAAUUUUUUAUCUCAAUUUAAACAAUAAUUGAUUUAAUUAAAAGUUUUUUUAUCAUUUAACACUCUAAUAAAUGCUGCCACAAUAUGUCAUUCAUUAUAAUGUUUCAGAAAAUAUUUAUCAAAUCUUAUAAAUAAUAUAUAUUUCUUGAUUUUUUCUACAAUAAUAUAAACACACUAUAAUAUAAAAAAACAAGAUAAUAAAUGUCUAUUUAAAUGAUUAAUAUAUUUAGUUACUUUCAUAUGUAAAAUAGUUUAAAUAAUUUGUUACGAUAUUUUAAUUAUAUAUUAAUAUUUUAUGAUAAUAAUUCAAAAAAUAUUUCAAAUUUAAGAUAUUAUAUAUAUAAUUUUAUAUAUUUAAAAAAUCAAUAAUAUAAAUAAAUAUAACUUAAAAAAUUGAAUCAGGACAAAAUAAA
This 36475-nucleotide long non-coding RNA is filed under the name Cicer arietinum (chickpea). RNAcentral's name for it is "long non-coding RNA (CARI_LNC000825)". The record is from RNAcentral. Lineage: Eukaryota; Viridiplantae; Streptophyta; Magnoliopsida; Fabales; Fabaceae.